GACGAACGCUGGCGGCGUGCUUAACACAUGCAAGUCGAACGGAAAGGCCUGCUUUUGUGGGGUGCUCGAGUGGCGAACGGGUGAGUAACACGUGAGUAACCUGCCCUUGACUUUGGGAUAACUUCAGGAAACUGGGGCUAAUACCGGAUAGGAGCUCCUGCUGCCUGGUGGGGGUUGGAAAGUUUCGGCGGUUGGGGAUGGACUCGCGGCUUAUCAGCUUGUUGGUGGGGUAGUGGCUUACCAAGGCUUUGACGGGUAGCCGGCCUGAGAGGGUGACCGGCCACAUUGGGACUGAGAUACGGCCCAGACUCCUACGGGAGGCAGCAGUGGGGAAUAUUGCACAAUGGGCGGAAGCCUGAUGCAGCAACGCCGCGUGCGGGAUGACGGCCUUCGGGUUGUAAACCGCUUUCGCCUGUGACGAAGCGUGAGUGACGGUAAUGGGUAAAGAAGCACCGGCUAACUACGUG
RNAcentral lists this ribosomal RNA (467 nucleotides) under uncultured bacterium. RNAcentral's name for it is "partial 16S ribosomal RNA". It matches the Rfam family "Bacterial small subunit ribosomal RNA", at positions 28 to 507 of the family's 1533-position model. The record is from RNAcentral.